Molecule: ribosomal RNA, 253 nt
Filed under: uncultured bacterium
Lineage: Bacteria
Description: partial 16S ribosomal RNA
Rfam family: Bacterial small subunit ribosomal RNA
Source: RNAcentral
UACGUACUGUGCGAACGUUAUUCGGAAUCACUGGGCUUAAAGGGUGCGUAGGCGGCCAAUUAAGUAGGGUGUGAAAGGUUACGGCUCAACCGUGACAUUGCGCUCUAGACUGAUUGGCUCGAGUGAGAUAGGGGUGUGCGGAACUUCCAGUGGAGCGGUGAAAUGUGUUGAUAUUGGAAGGAACGCCGGUGGCGAAAGCAGCACACUGGGUCUUAACUGACGCUGAGGCACGAAAGCCAGGGGAGCGAACGGG